RNAcentral lists this ribosomal RNA (886 nucleotides) under Clostridioides difficile. Its description in RNAcentral is "bacterial LSU rRNA". It matches the Rfam family "Bacterial large subunit ribosomal RNA", at positions 1 to 889 of the family's 2925-position model. Lineage: Bacteria; Bacillati; Bacillota; Clostridia; Peptostreptococcales; Peptostreptococcaceae. The record is from RNAcentral.
UGGUCAAGUUAUUAAGGGUGCAGGGCGGAUGCCUUGGCACUAGGAGCCGAUGAAGGACGUGAUAAGCUGCGAUAAGCUUCGGGGAGUUGCACGUAAACUUUGAUCCGAAGAUUUCCGAAUGAGGAAACUCACUUAGAGUAAUGUCUAAGUAUCAUUAAGUGAAUACAUAGCUUAAUGAGGGGAACUCAGGGAACUGAAACAUCUAAGUACCUGAAGGAAGAGAAAGAAAUUCGAUUCCGUAAGUAGCGGCGAGCGAACGCGGAUUAGCCCAAACCAAUAAAGUUUUCUUUAUUGGGGUUGAGGACAUACCACAUAUAAGAGGUCAUUAUAGACGAAGAAGUUUGGAAAAACUCAUCAUAGAAGGUAAUAAUCCUGUAGUCAAAAUAAUAAUUCUUUAGGUAUGAUCCAGAGUACCACGGGACACGUGAAACCCUGUGGGAAGCAGGAGGGACCACCCUCCAAGGCUAAAUACUACCUAGUGACCGAUAGCGUAUAGUACCGUGAGGGAAAGGUGAAAAGAACCCCGGGAGGGGAGUGAAAUAGAACCUGAAACCCUGCACUUACAAGCUGUGGAAGCACAUUUCUUGUGUGACCGCGUACUUUUUGUAGAACGGGCCAACGAGUUACGUUAAGUAGCAAGGUUAAGCACUUAAGGUGUGGAGCCGUAGCGAAAGCGAGUUUUAACUGAGCGUUCAGUUACUUGACGUAGACCCGAAACCGGGCGACCUACCCAUGAGCAGGAUGAAGCGAAAGUAAAAGUUCGUGGAGGUCCGAACCCACGAGCGUUGAAAAGCUCGGGGAUGACUUGUGGGUAGCGGUGAAAUUCCAAUCGAGCCCGGAGAUAGCUGGUUCUCCCCGAAAUAGCUUUAGGGCUAGCCUCAAGGUG